Molecule: long non-coding RNA, 575 nt
Filed under: Homo sapiens (human)
Lineage: Eukaryota; Metazoa; Chordata; Mammalia; Primates; Hominidae
Description: non-protein coding lnc-PPP1R18-2:1
Source: RNAcentral
GAAGAUCCUAGAGGUCCCAAGGUAGCUGACUUGCGAAGCUGAGGCUCCAGCCGAGGGCUCCAGGCCUCUGACCGGCCCAGCAGUGAGCGCGGCUGCCCGACGCUUCAGGGCCGGGAGCAGGGAGCGUGAGUCGCCAUGGCGACGCCGGCGGGUCUGGAGCGCUGGGUUCAGGACGAGCUGCACUCGGUGUUGGGGCUGAGCGAGCGGCACGUCGCCCAGUUUCUGAUCGGUACCGCACAGCGCUGCACCUCUGCCGAGGAGUUCGUGCAGCGCCUACGAGACACUGAUACCUUGGAUCUCAGUGGGCCGGCCCGGGACUUCGCCCUGAGACUCUGGAACAAGUACCACGAAAGGCAGUGGUAGAAAAGCCAGCUCGGGCAGCAGAGCGAGAGGCCCGGGCCCUGCUGGAGAAGAACCGAUCUUAUAGGUUACUGGAAGACAGUGAAGAGAGCAGUGAGGAGACUGUGAGUAGGGCUGGAAGCAGCCUCCAGAAGAAACGUAAAAAGCGGAAACACCUCAGGAAGAAGCGUGAGGAAGAAGAGGAGGAAGAGGCUUCUGAGAAAGGGAAGAAGAAA